Molecule: unclassified non-coding RNA, 274 nt
Filed under: Hevea brasiliensis (rubber tree)
Lineage: Eukaryota; Viridiplantae; Streptophyta; Magnoliopsida; Malpighiales; Euphorbiaceae
Source: RNAcentral
UACUGAUUCCAUCUCUCUCUACCAUUGCCACCGCCACCACCUCCGUUGCGAGAGAGGCACCAACUCCAGCAACCACCACCACCAGCAAAGGCCAAAUGGCUUCUCCUACCUCGUGGCCUCUUUCUCUUAUUCUGCUCUUACCAUUAUUAUUUUUUAUCUUAAAAAAGAAACUUCAGGAUCACAUCAGACAGAGAAAGCACCUACCUCCAGGCCCUCCAAGACUUCCAAUCAUAGGCAACUUGCACCAACUUGGGGUAUUGCCUCAUCAAUCUUU